UACGAAGGGGGCUAGCGUUGCUCGGAAUGACUGGGCGUAAAGGGCGCGUAGGCGGAUCCCGACGUCGGGCGUGAAAUCCCCGGGCUCAACCCUGGGCGGUCGCCCGAGACUCGGGGUCUGGAGUGGGGGAGAGGGUCGCGGAAUUCCCAGUGUAGAGGUGAAAUUCGUAGAUAUUGGGAAGAACACCGGUGGCGAAGGCGGCGACCUGGCCCUCGACUGACGCUGAGGCGCGAAAGCGUGGGGAGCAAACAGG
This 253-nucleotide ribosomal RNA is filed under the name uncultured bacterium. Its description in RNAcentral is "partial 16S ribosomal RNA". It matches the Rfam family "Bacterial small subunit ribosomal RNA", at positions 524 to 776 of the family's 1533-position model. The record is from RNAcentral.